AGUGAACGCUGGCGGUAGGCCUAACACAUGCAAGUCGAACGGCAGCACAGUAAGAGCUUGCUCUUACGGGUGGCGAGUGGCGGACGGGUGAGGAAUACAUCGGAAUCUACUUUUUCGUGGGGGAUAACGUAGGGAAACUUACGCUAAUACCGCAUACGACCUACGGGUGAAAGCAGGGGAUCUUCGGACCUUGCGCGAUUGAAUGAGCCGAUGUCGGAUUAGCUAGUUGGCGGGGUAAAGGCCCACCAAGGCGACGAUCCGUAGCUGGUCUGAGAGGAUGAUCGGCAACACUGGAACUGAGACACGGUCCAGACUCCUACGGGAGGUAGCAGUGGGGAAUAUUGGACAAUGGGCGCAAGCCUGAUCCAGCCAUACCGCGUGGGUGAAGAAGGCCUUCGGGUUGUAAAGCCCUUUUGUUGGGAAAGAAAAGCAGCAGGUUAAUACCCCGCUGUUCUGACGGUACCCAAAGAAUAAGCACCGGCUAACUUCGUG
RNAcentral lists this ribosomal RNA (492 nucleotides) under uncultured bacterium. Its description in RNAcentral is "partial 16S ribosomal RNA". It matches the Rfam family "Bacterial small subunit ribosomal RNA", at positions 29 to 507 of the family's 1533-position model. The record is from RNAcentral.